UUAGAACAAAAGGAGUCGGUCGGGGAUUGAGAGGAAAGGGAGCAGCUAGAGCUCGACCGAGAUCCUCCAACCCCAAAACACCGUGCGACAACCAACGGCGAUUCCGCCGCCUUCAGAGCAGUUCCGGCCGGCGCACCGGCCUCUUUGUGAUCGCCGUUACGCCGCCGUCCUCCCUGUGGCUUUGGUUCUUGCCAUCUGCAACGGAGGAGUGAGAAUCAAAGAAGGAACCGUCGACUCCCUCCGGCGACAUCGCGGCGUUUUCCGGCGUCCUCCGGUCACGUUUUGUGUUGAUUGUUAUGGGUUUUCUGUUCUUCGUUGUUCUUCGAUAUUGAGGGCUAUCCUGGCUUGAUUCCAAUCUUCUUAGCGUAUGUGGUGAGGCCUUGAAUCCAAUUGGGAACUUUCCGGAUUGAGCUGAUCACUUGACUCCGAAUUGGUGGAUUUCUGCUCAUUGAAUUCGUGAGAAAGCUUCUGCUACAUGGAGUUUCCAAAGGUAGAUUACAGCUUGAAUUCAAAGUUAGUUUGGUUAUAUUGGUGUCUUGCUGUAAUCACACGUUUGGAGUUGAAAAAUGGAAUAUGUUGAUAUUCGAUCUGUGAGCAUAGUUUGGGUCUUUUGGCUAUUUGUAAUUACAGAAGGAUAUUAUGAUAAUUGCCUUGAGAUUUCUCGUUUGAUUGAGUGAAAUAUGAAUUGGAAUUUCCUUGGAUUGUAGAAUCUGUGAAGUUUACUGUAAAUGAAAAUCAAUGGAAGUUGUGUGUA
Molecule: long non-coding RNA, 754 nt
Organism: Argentina anserina (silverweed cinquefoil)
Lineage: Eukaryota; Viridiplantae; Streptophyta; Magnoliopsida; Rosales; Rosaceae
Exons: 2
Source: RefSeq, a predicted model, not a curated record